CCAAUAGCGUAUAUUAAAGUUGUUGCAGUUAAAAAGCUCGUAGUUGAAUUUCGGGGUUAGUAGGUUGGUCAUGCCUCUGGUAUGUACUGGUCUCACUGAUUCCUCCUUCCUGAUGAGCCGUAAUGCCAUUAAUUUGGUGUUGCGGGGAAUUUGGACUGUUACUUUGAAAAAAUUAGAGUGUUUAAAGCAAGCUAACGCUUGAAUACAUUAGCAUGGAAUAAUGAAAUAGGACGUUCGAUCCUAUUUUGUUGGUUUCUAGGAUUGACGUAAUGAUUAAUAGGGAUAGUUGGGGGCAUUAGUAUUCAAUUGUCAGAGGUGAAAUUCUUGGAUUUAUUGAAGACUAACUACUGCGGAAGCAUUUGCCAAGGAUGUUUUCAUUAAUCAAGAACGAAAGUUAGGGGAUCGAAGACGAUCAGAUACCGUCGUAGUCUUAACCAUAAACUAUGCCGACUAGGGAUCGGAUGAUGUUAAUUUUUUAAUGACUCAUUCGGCGCCUUACG
RNAcentral lists this ribosomal RNA (500 nucleotides) under uncultured Glomeromycotina. RNAcentral describes it as "partial small subunit ribosomal RNA". It matches the Rfam family "Eukaryotic small subunit ribosomal RNA", at positions 591 to 1092 of the family's 1831-position model. Lineage: Eukaryota; Fungi; Glomeromycota. The record is from RNAcentral.